This 146-nucleotide ribosomal RNA is filed under the name Olea europaea subsp. europaea. RNAcentral describes it as "Bacterial large subunit ribosomal RNA". It matches the Rfam family "Bacterial large subunit ribosomal RNA", at positions 1858 to 1999 of the family's 2925-position model. The record is from Rfam by way of RNAcentral. Lineage: Eukaryota; Viridiplantae; Streptophyta; Magnoliopsida; Lamiales; Oleaceae.
CCUUUUUAAUGCCAAAAGGUCAAAAAAGUUGAUGGCUUGAUGAUCAGAGAGAUGGUGAUCGAAGCCCUAGUGAAUAGUGACCGUAACUAUAACGGUUUUAAGGUAACAAAAUUCCUUGUCAAAUGAGUUUCGAUCCGCACGAAAGG